GUCAUGGGGGUCAGACAAUCCCUUCCAUUCCCCGCGAGCUGCCCAUUGGUUCCGUGGGCCCGCCUCACGUGGUCGCGCUCGCGUCCGCACCUGGUAGCCUGGUGGAGGUUGGGGGCUGCGCGUGGCGACUGUGUUGGCGGCGGACCGGGAGGGAGGAAGCACUUGGGCCGGCACCAGCAUCCCCAGCGAGCCAGGCCCCGGGACCGGCCGCUUCCCGCAGGGCAGGCUUCCGCGAACCUCUGGCACCACAGCGCGGUGCUGGCCGAGCCUCCCCCACGCCUUGCGGGUGGGCCAGGGCUUCGUAGUUUUAGGCUGCAGGGGCGUCUCCCUGCCCAACGGGAAAUUAAAUUCCCCGCAGUCGCCCCUGUCUGGAGUAACAAGACCUGAUAACCCGGGAGUAUCUGUGGCCUCAUUCAUUUGAUACUUGGCGGAUUUUAGGAGCGUUGACUUGGAUUUUUUCUAUUUUUUUUUUUUUGGACACCUCUCAGGGCCCAGGGAGAGGAAGGCGGUCUAAACAGCAGCAAGAGGAAGUUGUUAAGAAGGAAUUCUUUCCCACAUAGAGUAGAGGCAGUAUAUGUUGGUAUAGCAAAAUGAGUAAGAACACAGCUGGAGCUAGACUGCCUGAGUUCCAGUCCCAGUUCUGCAGCUUACUGUGUGGUCUUGAGCAAUCUCUUCCUGGCUCAGUUCUUUCAUAGGGAACUACCAGCUCAGUAUUCAGUAUUCAGACCACAGAUCUAUGACUCACCAAUAAACCACCUGGAUAAAUGAACACAGAGGAUCUCAUCUGCUGCUGGCUAUUACCCUACCUCUUGAUUCUUACUCUAUUCUGCAACUGGAAAUUCCAUUUUCAUUUGAGCUGCACUAAAGGUCAGGUCUGAAACGUGCUAAGUAACACGACAAGGCAGGGCACAGAACAUGAAGGUGCCCAAGGAAGCAGAUCGUCCAAAACACUCAUAAUGCAGAGGGAACCGAGGCCCAGAGAGGACAGGACCAGGGCUCAGAUCCUAGAUGAAGAUGGGUAUUUCUCCGCGUGCAGUCUGAGGCCCGCUGAGAAACAUCACCCUGGACCCGGCAAAUUCACCAGAUUCAGAAACGUUCCCGUGCCCUGCCCCCCCCCGCCCCAUGUCCCCAGCUUGUGGGAGGCCUUGGAGAGGCAGGUUGGCUGGCUCCGCACGCCUCAGUCCCUGUGUUCUCCACCACGGCCUUAUGCAGCCUCCCCAGCUGGGCAGGAAGAGAGGCCACUGUGAGGGGGUCAGGUGAACGCCCUCGCUUGGAGGCCAAGCAGGAGAGGCUGGGGCUUCACUAAUAUAAGAGGUUUGAGCAUAUGUUUUUUCAGACCCCUUGGGUCCUAACAUGGGGAGCUCUAAGGACGGCCUGUGUUCCCUUCGGCCUCCACAGCCACCCUUUGUUCGCUGUCCUCACCGCACUCCGUCCCCUCCUGUGCCCAGCCUGCCGAGGGAGCCUUAUAUGAGCCACUGCAGCUGGACUAGACUCCUCUGUGUGCUACAGGACAUGCUCCAGGCUACCAUCUUCCGCCUAUUUCAAACCAUCUCUGGUCCAGGACUUCCUACCCUCAGCCCUGUUGACGUCAUUCCCAGAUUCUUCUUUCUUUAUGGAUUUCAUUUAGCAGCAUCUUUGGACCAACUCCCUCAGCACCAUGCUGACAGUCUAAGGGCAAUGGAGGUCUACUCUUGGCCAGACUUCAGGGGAGGGGUUUCAGAUAAGGUCUAUGUUCUUUUCUGCAGCAGACACUGCUUUGCCUUCACCCCAGCCCAACCGCAGUAUGCCUUGGACCCUAAAGUUCCCGUAUAUGCAUCUUUGUGCCUGAGGACCUUUGCCUCCAGCUUUGCUCAGAAGGGCCACUGCCCCCAGAGCAGUUCUCAGUGAAGACUGAUGGAAGGCGGUGCACAGACACCCAGCUCCCUCCUCCCGCAGGUUGUGGGCUUCUGAGGAGGGUGUUCCUCACCAUGGUUUCCCCACGGGUCAAGGUCUAGUCACCCACACAUUAUUGGCUGCUGUCUCUUUUCUGUCACUUUCCCAUUCCCCUGCCAGUGGUCCCUGUGUCUCCCAAAUAAAUGAC
This is a long non-coding RNA of Hippopotamus amphibius kiboko, 2080 nucleotides long. RefSeq lists it as uncharacterized. The record is from RefSeq and is a predicted model, not a curated record. The transcript is spliced from 5 exons. NCBI's taxonomy places the organism in Eukaryota, Metazoa, Chordata, Mammalia, Artiodactyla, Hippopotamidae.